AUUGGCACUGUCCCUGUGGGCGGAGUGGAAACUGGUGUCCUCAAACCUGGCAUGGUGGUUACCUUUGCUCCAGUCAGUGUAACAACUGAAGUCAAGUCUGUGGAAAUGCACCAUGAAGCUCUGAGUGAAGCUCUGCCUGGGGACAAUGUGGGCUUCAACGUAAAGAACGAGUCUGUCAAAGAUGUUAUACGUGGCAAUGUUGCUGGUGACAGCAAAAAUGACCCACCAAUGGAAGCAGCUGGCUUCAUGCUCAGGUGAUUAUCCUGAACCAUCCAGGCCAAAUUAUGCUGGCUACGCUCCAUGCUCCUGUUCUGGCUUGUCACACGGCCCACAUAGCAUGCAAGUUUGCCGAGCUUAAAGAAAAGGUCG
This 369-nucleotide long non-coding RNA is filed under the name Rattus norvegicus (Norway rat). RNAcentral describes it as "long non-coding RNA NONRATT012718". The record is from RNAcentral. Lineage: Eukaryota; Metazoa; Chordata; Mammalia; Rodentia; Muridae.